CGAACGGCUUCGACGAAGAGGAGUACCUUUUGCAGACACUGAAGAGAGCUGGUGGGUGGUGUGAACCAGUGUGGAUGCGUCAGGGAAUGGACUUCCGAGCCUCCAAACCGAAAUCCUUUAGGGAGAGUAGGCUUUGGCGAAUGUCUUAUCGUUACAAAAGACACGCAUUCAAGCCGGCCGGCUUCGAUGCGGAUGAGUGGACUGCGAGAAGCAGUCAACAAAGGUGGCACCACGGGUAUCCCGUCCUUUUU
This 251-nucleotide non-coding RNA is filed under the name [Bacillus] enclensis. RNAcentral's name for it is "Bacillus enclensis T-box sequence". It matches the Rfam family "T-box leader". Rfam says of the family: Uncharged tRNA acts as the effector for transcription antitermination of genes in the T-box leader family. T-boxes are found upstream of many aminoacyl-tRNA synthetase genes and some amino acid biosynthetic genes usually in Gram-positive bacteria. The record is from RNAcentral. Lineage: Bacteria; Bacillati; Bacillota; Bacilli; Caryophanales; Bacillaceae.